This 612-nucleotide long non-coding RNA is filed under the name Ananas comosus (pineapple). Its description in RNAcentral is "long non-coding RNA (ACOM_LNC030225)". The record is from RNAcentral. Lineage: Eukaryota; Viridiplantae; Streptophyta; Magnoliopsida; Poales; Bromeliaceae.
UAAUAUAUAUAGUAUAUUAAUUAUUAUAUAUUUAUUAUAUAGUCGAAUUUUUGAUUCGGAAUUUUUAAUUGGUGAACGUAUAAUACCCGUAUAUAUUACGUAUCCGAAUAACUGUCAAAUCCGUUUUUAGCCGUAGUUUUCAACGAAUUUAAAAAUUAAAAGACGAAUUUUAUCCGAAUUAUAUCUGUACCGAAUUUUUGCCGAAUCUGAAUUAACUAACUAUGCCUCCAAUCACUAAGAUUGGUUUAGCUGCGAUCAAUCUCAUCUGUUCAUCUGCUCGCUCCCAACGUGCUUAAUUAAUUAAUUGAUAUUUGAAGGGCAAAUAAGAAAAAUAUUUGUUAUAUGAAUGAUAUAUAAGAUAAGUGAGUUACGGUACGAGGGUAUAUUGGAAUGGGCAAAAUGGUAAUUUUUCAGAGAUAACAGCAGCUAACUGACGGAACUUAACUCCAGGGGUAUAUUAGAAAGACUUGGAACAUAAGAAGGGUAUUUUCAAUAUUAGCCUUCUAAGAGGGGUAAAUAAGAAAACCGGGAACUUUUCAGUGGGAUAUAUGCAAUUGCCCCAUAUAUAUAUAUAUAUAUAUAUAUAUAUAUAUAUAUAUAUAUAUAUAUAUA